UACGUAGGUGGCAAGCGUUGUCCGGAUUUAUUGGGCGUAAAGCGAGCGCAGGCGGUUCUUUAAGUCUGAUGUGAAAGCCCACGGCUCAACCGUGGAAGGUCAUUGGAAACUGGGGAACUUGAAUGCAGAAGAGGAGAGUGGAAUUCCAUGUGUAGCGGUGAAAUGCGUAGAUAUAUGGAGGAACACCAGUGGCGAAGGCGACUCUCUGGUCUGUUAUUGACGCUGAGGCUCGAAAGCGUGGGGAGCAAACAGGGAUUAGAUA
This 262-nucleotide ribosomal RNA is filed under the name uncultured prokaryote. RNAcentral's name for it is "partial 16S ribosomal RNA". It matches the Rfam family "Bacterial small subunit ribosomal RNA", at positions 524 to 784 of the family's 1533-position model. The record is from RNAcentral.